CAAUUGAUUGGAUCGUAGGUGCGAUGAUUUACUUCACGGGCGAGGUCUCUGGUUCAAAUCCAGGAUGUCCCA
Molecule: transfer RNA, 72 nt
Filed under: Rhynchospora pubera
Lineage: Eukaryota; Viridiplantae; Streptophyta; Magnoliopsida; Poales; Cyperaceae
Description: tRNA-Ile
Source: RNAcentral